GAGAAUUUACAGCGCCGCGCGUCUUAUCAGGCACGCAAAGGUCGCCGGAGCAAU
This 54-nucleotide small RNA is filed under the name Sinorhizobium meliloti 2011. RNAcentral describes it as "putative ncRNA". The record is from RNAcentral. Lineage: Bacteria; Pseudomonadati; Pseudomonadota; Alphaproteobacteria; Hyphomicrobiales; Rhizobiaceae.